GUGGAGUUUCAGCGAGUUCAUAUACGGUGGAGAUGAGUUGCACGUAUAUGACGAGUUGUGUUGCUGUUGGAUAGGAGGUGUCGUUUGGUAAGUUGCGUCACCAACGACAAAGAAAAAGAUGUGAAGGUGUGACGGGUGAAAAGAUGUGUCUCCCCGUGUGCAAAAAGAAACCGAUGUGAGGAUGAAGAUCAACGUGAAGGUGGACGCGCACCAGUUAAGUCGAGUUCCUGCAUGAGGCUAUGCGUUUAGUCGGCAUGUAGCACGCUAAGAUGUGUCAGCGUGACUGAUAGUCUGAAUAAUCGUUGGUUCCAGUCUGCAAGUCAGUAUGAAAAAGAAAAGAUGGUGGUGAAGUGGUGGCCAUGAAGAGAGAAGUUGUGGUCCGGUUAGUCACGUCACCGGAGGCAACCGGCGUGACAAGCUGAAGAGAUGGUCGUCUGUGUAUUUGGUAAGUAAAGAAUCGGAUGUUUGGAUUAGGGGGUGAUUGUUAGGUAAUUCAAACAAUACCCAGUUUAGUUUUGAUGAAUUUACUACUAAGUGGUCACAUAUGUGAUAAUAGUUGUGUUGAGUCAGAUAUAUAUAGUACUAGUCCAUGUGCUAGUAGGUUUGGGUAGCUAAGUUUAGUAAAGGUGUGAUCAGCGUUGCCGGGUAUUUAGAUUAGGAAAAGGCAACGUGUCUUAGUUUGUGUUAGAGUAAAAGUACUAGUCGUGUUCGGUUCAGAGUGCAGAACAAGUACAAGUCGGUUUGAGGUCCUGGGUCGGUUGGUGCAUAUAUAUAUAUGCACAACUAUUGCGUGAGUUUAUUGUAUCAAGGAGAGAAAAGGAGAAAAGCAAUAAAGAGGAAAACAAGGGCACGACAAGGGCCCUUGGCUAUAAGUUUUGUGUGUGCGUAUGUUCAUCGUAUUUGAUGUGAUCGAUCCUGUGGGAGAAUUUCCAACAAUUGGCAUCAGAGCAAGGUCGAUUUCAAGCCGCGCUUGCCCCGGGGUGGCGACCCGACUAGCGCCUCGGGGUGGGCGAUAUAGUCGCUGGGUGGUGCAGCGACGAGGGGCGGGUGAUAUAGUCGUUGGGUGGUGCAACGACGAGGAAAGAGCGGGCGAUACGGUCGCUUGGUGGAGCAACGACGUGGAGGAUCGGGCGGUAGUCGUUCCGCGGAUGGACGACGAGAAGGCGGUGACGAUGCCGUCGCAAGCGAGGCGACAUGUGAUUGUCGUUCGGCAGAACAACCAGGAGGAGGGCGACAGGCUGUCGUCGACAAUGCGUUGGUGAUCAUUGAUGGUUAUGGAGAUGUCGAAGUUGCAACACCGAGGAAAUCAUCGAGAUCAUCGUUGGGGGGUGCGAGGAAGAGGCGACAAAGUUGCGAGCUGUCGUCAAGGUGUGUGCACAUGAGUUCUUGUAAGGAGCGUCCAAGAGUUCAAGUGUGUGAGUUUUCUGCUGCAGUUGAGAUGCGUCACUGGCGGAGGAGAAUUGCGGGUGAGAGCGGGCGGAAAAAGGAAUUCGUGCCUUGAGUUUCCAUUCGUGGUGGUGGAGUUCCAGCGAGUUCAUAUACGGUGGAGAUGAGUUGCACGUAUAUGACGAGUUGUGUUGCUGUUGGAUAGGAGGUGUCGUUUGAUAAGUUGCGUCACCAACGACAAAGAAAAAGAUGUGAAGGUGUGACGGGUGAAAAGAUGUGUCUCCCCGUGUGCAAAAAGAAACCGAUGUGAGGAUGAAGAUCAACGUGAAGGUGGACGCGCACCAGUUAAGUCGAGUUCCUGCAUGAGGCUAUGCGUUUAGUCGGCAUGUAGCACGCUAAGAUGUGUCAGCGUGACUGGUAGUCCGAAUAAUCGUUGGUUCCAGUCUGCAAGUCAGUAUGAAAAAGAAAAGAUGGUGG
Molecule: long non-coding RNA, 1863 nt
Filed under: Triticum aestivum (bread wheat)
Lineage: Eukaryota; Viridiplantae; Streptophyta; Magnoliopsida; Poales; Poaceae
Description: long non-coding RNA (TAES_LNC006077)
Source: RNAcentral